GCUGUUUUCAACAUUAAACUAGAACACACAUACUCACAAUACCUUCUGGCCGCCGCCCCCCAAGGGGACCAAUCAUAUGGGAUAACCAUUUUCCCUCCAAGAUUCAAAUAUAUUGGAGGGAAACCAUACAAAAUGGCCUACCCUCCUAGCCCUAUCACAACAGACCUACUCACAACACUACUUACUGAUUGGUGGUUUGAGCCUUGGGGGAGGGGCACACAUCCCCUCCUCCAACACUUUAUAACCACCAGAGCUGUCGGUCUUGUCCACACAUCCUCUGAAGAAGCAUCGACCAAUGCGAAACGUCAGGAUCCUAAAUACUACUCAACGGUACGUCAGCUUAGACUCUUUUAUCUUUUAAAACUCUGGUUUUAAAGCAGCCUUGCUUUUUAACUAUUAGAAGAUUUGUUUUUAACUAUUAAAGCUAGUUUUUUGAAUGUCCUGGGGGGCUGCUGCCUGAGGCCUUCCUUAUGCUUAAAACAAUUGACUCUUUCCACACUCUGGUAUUUAAACAGCCUUGCUUUUAACCAGUUGGGUCUUUUGUUUUUGCCUUUUAACUAAGCCACUCGUUCCAAAAACACCCUGAGUGGCUUUUGCCUUAAGCCUUUCCCCGUUUUUAUUAAGCAAUAGACUCCUAUCCUCUAAAAAACUCUGGUUUUAAAGCAGCCUGGCUUUUAACCAGUUGGAGUAUUGUCUUUUUUUGGUUUUUGGACUAAAAAGCUAUCGGUUUUAAACAGAGCUUAGAACAUCAAACAAUAGACUCCUAUCUUCUAAAAACUCUGGUUUUAAAGCAGCCUGGCUUUUUACCAGUUGGAGUAUUGUCUUUUUGAUUUUCUUGCUUUUUGAUUCUUUGUUUUUUGGACUAAAAAGCUACUAGUUUUCAACAAAGCUUAUAGCACUAAACAUCCUGAGGGACUUCUGCCUAAGCCUCUCCCCCUAUUUUUUUAAACAACACUCCUAUCUUUUAAACUCUGGUUUUAAGCGGCCUUGCUUUUACCAGUAGGAGUUUUGUAUCUGACAAAGACUCCUAUCUUCUAAAAACUCUGGUUUUAAAGCAGCCUGGCUUUUUACCAGUUGGAGUAUUGUCUUUUUGAUUUUCUUGCUUUUUGAUUCUUUGUUUUUUGGACUAAAAAGCUACUAGUUUUCAACAAAGCUUAUAGCACUAAACAUCCUGAGGGACUUCUGCCUAAGCCUCUCCCCCUAUUUUUUUUAAACAACACUCCUAUCUUUUAAACUCUGGUUUUAAGCGGCCUUGCUUUUACCAGUAGGAGUUUUGUAUCUGACAAAGACUCCUAUCUUCUAAAAACUCUGGUUUUAAAGCAGCCUGGCUUUUUACCAGUUGGAGUAUUGUCUUUUUGAUUUUCUUGCUUUUUGAUUCUUUGUUUUUUGGACUAAAAAGCUACUAAUUUUCAACAAAGCUUAUAGCACUAAACAUCCUGAGGGACUUCUGCCUAAGCCUCUCCCCCUAUUUUUUUAAACAACACUCCUAUCUUUUAAACUCUGGUUUUAAGCGGCCUUGCUUUUACCAGUAGGAGUUUUGUAUCUGAUAUUGCUUUUAAUUUAUUUUUUUCUUGUGAUCCUCCUCCCGGCUGGGACGAGGUUAUCAGAGACUUAUUUCCUAAAAAUCCUUUUUUGGAAAACUUAUUAAUUAAUUAUUUUUCUGGAGACCUCCCCCCCGCUCUUGGUUAUACUGAGACGUUUUUUUUGGAGUUCCCUUCUUUUACUAGGAUACACCUGGAACUCAUCCUCAUCCUCCUGGACCACUGCCCAACACCAACCCAGCUCCAACUUGGGAGGCCCAGCCAACUACUGGACCAAGGAGACCUACACUACCAGGGAUACCCACCAGGCAACAACCAAAGGCACCUGAACCCCAUUCUGCUGGACCACUGCCUUAACGUCACCCCAGCUCCAACUAGGAAGGCCGAGGAACAAGCCAUCAGCCAUUUACUGGACAAAGGUGACCUCCAACUACACUACCAGGGUUGGAGGGCUCCCUCUCCACCAUCCCGGAAUUAUCCGAUGAAGAGGAAUUCCCACCACUACCAGUCAUCAGUGUUGCUGGUCCCCGGACUGGCACAAUGGAACAGCGAGGAGCCCCGACAACCAUAACGGGAGGGUCACCUAACAUGAUGAGCGGGCAAUUAAAGGCUAAUAUUGCCACUCAAGCCGUAUCUGAGACCUCCCUACCACUUCUCCGCGGAAGUCCACCUCCCACUUGUGCCGUUCGGGGGUCCAGCACACCUCCACCCCCCGAGGAUAGCCCCACAGGACCCUCCUCCACCUCCUCCCCAUUCAGCCUACCACCACACACUCCCACAUCAGGUAAAUACCAUCCCACAUCACACAUCGCCCGACACACCAGGAAACUCCAGGACUGGUCUUUCAAAAGCCGUAGACCAGUCCUGGUGUUGGGGGAUUCCAACAUCAAUCGAAUCCCCCCCCACAACAA
This is a long non-coding RNA of Platichthys flesus (European flounder), 2452 nucleotides long. RefSeq lists it as uncharacterized. The transcript is spliced from 3 exons. NCBI's taxonomy places the organism in Eukaryota, Metazoa, Chordata, Actinopteri, Pleuronectiformes, Pleuronectidae. The record is from RefSeq and is a predicted model, not a curated record.